Molecule: long non-coding RNA, 2804 nt
Filed under: Nilaparvata lugens (brown planthopper)
Lineage: Eukaryota; Metazoa; Arthropoda; Insecta; Hemiptera; Delphacidae
Description: uncharacterized LOC120353283
Source: RNAcentral
GGCACUGUCUACCUGUUUCCCAGGGUUUCACGUGAGACUGCGCGUCUGUUCGUUUCGUUAUCAAAACUACCUGUUUUCAUGUCGGUUCUUGCAGACCUAUUGUCAAUCUCUAAAAUCUUGCUCAAUUAUCCAGUUUUCCUAAUGUAUUACAGUUUUAUUUUCUAAAUGCAUGCAAUCAUUAUCCAAUUAGUAUCUGAAGGAGGUUUUCGUGCUCUCUAAUAGCUGCUGCAGAGCGACGUAUGGCUAUUAUUACUGUAUUGUUUCUGAUAUGAAGAUCGUUUUUGACAAGCUGCAGCUUCAUAAAAAGAUUGCCUGCUUUGGAUUCCUGACUGAUGGAUACAGGAAAGAAAUCAAAGAAUGUGAGACUUGUGAAAUGAAUCUUGCCUCUGAGUGUAAGCCGGCCUUCCAAGAUAACUCCUGGUGAAAAUUAACUUUUACUUGGAUUGUACAGAAUAUUUUUGAUUCGUCUGAAAAAUUAAAGAAACCAGCAAAAAGUCCCACUGGAAAUGUAAUUAUGACACUACCGUACCAAUAAUUUCAGUUCUUGAUAGAAUUCAACAAAAAAAUAAAUAUUUUUACGCUACUAUUCUUCUAUAAAUGUAUGUAGGCCUACUGUAUAUUCUUAUUAUUUAAACGACUAGCUCUUUUUAUGUCAAGACUGAAUUAAUUUUAGUGAAAAAUAAUAAGCCUACCACCCACUUUGACUGAAGUGAAAUUCAAGACUUCAACUCGUUUUUCAAAAUUAUAUAAUUUUAUUUACCAGACGUGCUAUAAUGUAUUACUUUGUUUUUUGGGUAGCUGAACAUAACUUCGAUGAUAUAGUUCUCAAACUGUUGAUUGCUUAUCUCUUAUAUACAUAUUACGAUUCCAAAUAUGAAAAUUUAAAUUCAUUUUGGAAACUAUUCGAUGUGAAAAUGUACUAUGAUAGAAAUUAAGUGGAUGUAGAUAGAAUUCAUCCAUUGCGAAAAUGGAUGAAUUCAACUCAAUUUUUGUCACAAAUGUGAUGUAACAUAGAUCUCUGCCACAUAGGCUACUGCCAUUGGGAAUGCUCAAUGAGGGCCCUUUUUUUUAUCAAUUUUUAUUUUCUGAAAUCAAUUUCUUAACUCACCUUUGCAUAUUAUUCUCCCCUCCUAUGCUUCUCUACUAUUAAUUAUUGAUUCAUCUUGCUCUAUCUCCUUCUAGAUACUUUAUAAAAAAAUAUUGUAUUAAUCUUCUUAAAUUUUCACUCCAACUUGAACUGAUUCUAUUCUAGAGCAGAUCAAUAAUUAAAUGUAAAGUAGAGUCCGGGCGCGUUUAAAGUUACUGGUCUCCAUCUUCAGUGUGCAGGGAGUUUCUUGAUAUUCCCAGAUACUAGAUUAAUGAAUGAUAUUGAUACAACAUUAAUUAGUACAAUAAUCAAUUGUCAAAUUUACAAUAGACUAGAUCGUCUCAUAUGGAAGCCAUUAAAGUUAAUUCUAAUAUUGAAAAACAAAUUAAAAAUGUAAUCACUUUGUUAUAGUUCAGACACUGUGUUACUUGUAAAUAUUUGAAAAACACUUACUUUUCUUGGAGUGUUGAGGAAUGCAUUUCACUCCUGAAGAGGAGCUUCAUCAGCCUGACACCAGGGGCGCUUGCUUUUAUGGAUUGGAUUAUGUGGCCAAAAUGUGGGGAAAUAUUAAAAAUUUAAUAUUGAAAUUAUUAGAAAUUCUUGAUUCUCCUAAAUAUUAUAUUAUACCGUACAUGAAAAAACUCGUCUGUCUUUGGUGAGCUUUAAAUCUGCUCCAGUUUGCUGGGGUUAACUUGCUUCAAUGAAAUCUUAUUAUAAAGUAACUUAGGAGGUAGAGCAAUGAGUAAUGAGAUAAUUUAUAGAAAUUAGUAAAGUAUUCCCAUUUUUUUCUCUUCUUGAUAAACUACCAAAUCUUCUGUUAACUACUUGUUUAUGAUCCCAAUUUACUACACAAAACAUUAUGUAUGAUCCAAAUAUAGACUUAAUAUUUAUGGUUCAUGGUCCAAAUUUACCACACAAAACCAUAUUACAAGUUUUAUACUAUGCAAGAUCAGUUUUAUGCUAUCGUUUUCACCAGCUAAUUCAUUUUACAAUAUUAUUAUUACUCAACCUUUGCUGGAAGCUGGAAGCAUUCAUGAAGAUAUAAGCUUAGGUCAAAGUUUAAAAGAAACUUCGUACUGGUAUCCAAUUUUUUGCUCAAUUUUAUCAUAUUGAAUUUAUCUUAUUUUUUUGAAUUACUGUAAUAUCUUUCUUUUUAAUCAUCGUUUCCUCUUAGUUAAAAAUUUAUCUGACAUUGUUUUCUCAUCUUUCAGGCCUAAUGUGAUGAUAUCAAAGUGCGUUUCUUGAAUAAUAAUUAUGUUUGACUAAUUUUCUGAUUCCAUCUAUGAAUACCGGUACAGCUAUUUUCGGUAUUUAUAACACUUUAUGUAGUAUAUUUAUCAUCAUAGUAGAAGAAAUAGUAUUAGUGUAGUUGGUUAGUAAUAGUAUUUAUGCAUACCUACCUGUCUCUUCUCAUCCUGGUGUUUUUGGUCAGAUCUCCGCAAAAUGAAAAUAUACAAGCUUUCUAUGUUGUGUCUUUCGGUAAAUCCUUAUUUAGUGUGAUCCAAGGUGCAAUAUAUAACCUAUAAAAGUUAUAAAGCCCAUUCAGCCCAUCUAAAUGCAUAAUCAUCCAUAAAUUUUGGAUGAAUGCAAUUUUCCACAUAGUAAAUAGGCCUAACAGUUGAAUCCCCAUGUAGAAGAAUACAAUAUACAAUAUUGUAUUGUAGUAAUUAAUUUUGAUGUGUCACAUAAAUAAGUAACACUAUAGUGAGAUUUACGU